This 253-nucleotide ribosomal RNA is filed under the name uncultured bacterium. RNAcentral describes it as "partial 16S ribosomal RNA". It matches the Rfam family "Bacterial small subunit ribosomal RNA", at positions 524 to 776 of the family's 1533-position model. The record is from RNAcentral.
GACAGAGGGUGCAAACGUUGCUCGGAAUCACUGGGCGUAAAGGGCGUGUAGGCGGGAAGGUAAGUCGGGCGUGAAAUCCCUGAGCUCAACUCAGGAACUGCACUCGAAACUACUUUUCUUGAGUGCCGGAGAGGAAAGCGGAAUUCCUGGUGUAGAGGUGAAAUUCGUAGAUAUCAGGAAGAACACCCGUGGCGAAAGCGGCUCUCUGGAACGGUACUGACGCUGAGACGCGAAAGCGUGGGGAGCGAACAGG